UUUUUCUUUGAUUCCAAAAUUCAACAAUCAAACAGAUAAACAUAAGCUAUGUCCCUGAAGGCACCAUCUCAUGUGGUCUCCGUAGUGUAGUGGUUAUCACGUUCGCCUAACACGUGGAAGGUCCCCGUUUCGAGACCGGGCGGAAACAGCUGUUGAUGUUUCCUUCUUGAUUCCGAACUUCAACAAUCAAACAGAUAACCAUACGCUAUGUCCCUGAACGCACCAUCUCAUUUGGUUUCCGUAGUGUAGUGGUUAUCACGUUCGCCUCACACGCGAAAGGUCCCCGGUUCGAGACCGGGAGGAAACAGUCGUUGGUGUUUCUUUCUUUGAUUCCGAACUUCAACAAUCAAACAGAUAAACAUACGCUAUGUCCCUGAACGCACCAUCUCAUGCGGUUUCCUUAGUGUAGUGGUUAUCACGUUCGCCUAACACUGGAAAGGUCCCCGGAUCCGGACCGGGCGGAAACAGUCGUUGGUGUUUUUUUCUUUGAUUCUUCAACAAUCAAACAGAUAAACAUAAGCUAUGUCCCUGAACGCACCAUCUCAUGCGGUUUCCUUAGUGUAGUGGUUAUCACGUUCGCCUAACACUGGAAAGGUCCCCGGUUAGAGACCGGGCGGAAACAGUGUUGGAUGUUUUUUUCUUUAUUCCGCACUUCAACAAUCAAACAGAUGAACAUAAAGCUAUGUCCCUGAACGCACCAUCUCAUGUGGUUUCCGUAGUGUAGUGGUUAUCACGUUCGCCUCACACACGAAAAGGUCCUCGGUUCGAGACCGAGCAGAAACAGUUGUUGUUGUUUUUUUCUUUGAUUCUUCAACAAUCAAACAGAUAAACAUACGCUAUGUCCCUGAAAGCACCAUCUCCUGUGGUUUCCGUAGUGUAGUGGUUAUCACGUUCGCCUCACACGCGAAAGGUCCCCGGUUCGAGACCGGGCGGAAACAGUCGUUGAUCUAUUUUUGUCUAUAUUCCGAACUUCAGCAAUCAAACAGAUAAACAUAAGCUAUGUCCCUGAACGUACCAUCUCAUGUGGUUUCCGUAGUGUAGUGGUUAUCACGUUCGCCUAACAUGCGAAAGGUACCCGGUUCGAGACUGGGCGGAAACAGUCGUUGAUGUUUUUUUCUUUAUUUCCAACUUCAGCAUUCAAACAGAUAUACAUACGCUAUGUCCCUGAAAGCACCAUCCCUGGUGGUUUCCGUAGUGUAGUGG
This is a long non-coding RNA of Gasterosteus aculeatus aculeatus (three-spined stickleback), 1203 nucleotides long. The record is from Ensembl. NCBI's taxonomy places the organism in Eukaryota, Metazoa, Chordata, Actinopteri, Perciformes, Gasterosteidae.